Molecule: ribosomal RNA, 465 nt
Filed under: Vreelandella stevensii
Lineage: Bacteria; Pseudomonadati; Pseudomonadota; Gammaproteobacteria; Oceanospirillales; Halomonadaceae
Description: partial 16S ribosomal RNA
Rfam family: Bacterial small subunit ribosomal RNA
Source: RNAcentral
CCUACGGGAGGCAGCAGUGGGGAAUAUUGGACAAUGGGGGGAACCCUGAUCCAGCCAUGCCGCGUGUGUGAAGAAGGCCCUCGGGUUGUAAAGCACUUUCAGUGAGGAAGAACGCCUGGUGGUUAAUACCCAUCAGGAAAGACAUCACUCACAGAAGAAGCACCGGCUAACUCCGUGCCAGCAGCCGCGGUAAUACGGAGGGUGCGAGCGUUAAUCGGAAUUACUGGGCGUAAAGCGCGCGUAGGUGGCUUGAUAAGCCGGUUGUGAAAGCCCCGGGCUCAACCUGGGAACGGCAUCCGGAACUGUCAAGCUAGAGUGCAGGAGAGGAAGGUAGAAUUCCCGGUGUAGCGGUGAAAUGCGUAGAGAUCGGGAGGAAUACCAGUGGCGAAGGCGGCCUUCUGGACUGACACUGACACUGAGGCGCGAAAGCGUGGGUAGCAAACAGGAUUAGAUACCCCGGUAGUC